This 468-nucleotide ribosomal RNA is filed under the name uncultured bacterium. RNAcentral's name for it is "partial 16S ribosomal RNA". It matches the Rfam family "Bacterial small subunit ribosomal RNA", at positions 28 to 507 of the family's 1533-position model. The record is from RNAcentral.
GACGAACGCUGGCGGCGUGCUUAACACAUGCAAGUCGAACGGAAAGGCCCUGCUUUUGUGUGUUGCUCGAGUGGCGAACGGGUGAGUAACACGUGAGUAACCUGCCCUUGACUUUGGGAUAACUUCAGGAAACUCGGGCUAAUACCGGAUAGGAGCUCCUGCUGCAUGGGGGUGGUUGGAAAGUUUCGGCGGUUGGGGAUGGACUCGCGGCUUAUCAGCUUGUUGGUGGGGUAGUGGCUUACCAAGGCUUUGACGGGUAGCCGGCCUGAGAGGGUGACCGGCCACAUUGGGACUGAGAUACGGCCCAGACUCCUACGGGAGGCAGCAGUGGGGAAUAUUGCACAAUGGGCGGAAGCCUGAUGCAGCAACGCCGCGUGCGGGAUGACGGCCUUCGGGUUGUAAACCGCUUUCGCCUGUGACGAAGCGUGAGUGACGGUAAUGGGUAAAGAAGCACCGGCUAACUACGUG